CUACGGGCCGCUGCAGUCGAGAAUCUUCGGCAAUGGACGCAAGUCUGACCGAGCGAUGCCGCGUGCGGGAUGAAGGCCUUCGGGUUGUAAACCGCUGUCAGUUGGGAGGAAGGCUCCGUGAAGAGCGGAGUUUGACCUAUCUUCAGAGGAAGUCCGGGCUAAGUUCGUGCCAGCAGCCGCGGUAACACGAACCGGACGAACGUUAUUCGGAAUUAUUGGGCUUAAAGGGUGCGUAGGCGGUGCGGUAAGUGAGGUGUGAAAGCCCACGGCUCAACCGUGGAAUUGCGCUUCAUACUGCCGUGCUAGAGGGAGACAGAGGUAAGCGGAACUGAUGGUGGAGCGGUGAAAUGCGUUGAUAUCAUCAGGAACACCGGUGGCGAAAGCGGCUUACUGGGUCUCUUCUGACGCUGAGGCACGAAAGCUAGGGUAGCGAACGGGAUUAGAUACCCGUGUAGUC
This 457-nucleotide ribosomal RNA is filed under the name uncultured bacterium. Its description in RNAcentral is "partial 16S ribosomal RNA". It matches the Rfam family "Bacterial small subunit ribosomal RNA", at positions 339 to 795 of the family's 1533-position model. The record is from RNAcentral.